Chelonia mydas (Green sea turtle) is the source of this 497-nucleotide long non-coding RNA. RefSeq lists it as uncharacterized. The record is from RefSeq and is a predicted model, not a curated record. The transcript has 3 exons. NCBI's taxonomy places the organism in Eukaryota, Metazoa, Chordata, Testudines, Cheloniidae.
GAGAAUCUCGCCCUGGGGCUGGGUGUGGGAAACGCCCCCCCUGCCCCGGGGAGGGGGUGAGAGAAUUCCGCCCUGGGGCUGGGUGUGGGAAACGCUCCCCCCCGGGAGGGGGUGAGACAAUCCUGCCCUGGGGCUGGGUGUGGGAAACGCCCCCCCCCCGGGGAGGGGGUGAGAGAAUCCCGCCCUGGGGCUGGGUGUGGGAAACGCCCCCCCCCCCCCGGGAGGGGGUGAGAGAAUCCCACCCUGGGGCUGGGUGGGGGAAACGCCCCCUGGGGGGGGAGGGAGGGGGGAGACUUCCUACUUUAUUAUGGAAAAAGACUCCUGGCGAAGUCUAGCAUGAGGAGGACACUGCCACACGCCCUGGAGCACAGCAUGAGCUCUGCCCUUCUCUGCUCUGAGACCUGUGGUGUCCACGAAAGGACCUGGUCUGUUAGCAGAGCCAUUAGCACCAGCCCUUCCUGGGAUGCAGUGUGGUUUGAGUGUGUGAUAGCAGCAGC